UGUGGGGAUUUCUUUACAUAGACAUGACAGAUUAAAUUUUUGGCCACUGGUUGUGGGCUGGGACUAAAAUUUUAAACCCUCUUAUCCUGUGGUAGGUUUUUCUGGUAACUAGCCCCCAUCCUAAAGCCCCACUUCCUGUGAGUCAUCUCAUUAGCAUACAAGGACAGUAAACUCCAAGGGUUUUAGGAGCUCUGUGCCAGAGAAUGAAGACGCAGUCUGAGAACUAAUGAAUGGGUGGCCCGGCUCACCAAUACCCGCUAGGACUCUGUUAAGCUUGGGUGUUCUGUCUCUGAAACUCAGGGCUCUUUGGGCUUAGAGAAAACUCAUACCAGAAGCCACAGUGUCACACUCAAUUAUAAGUAACACUUGCCAAUUGAUCUCCUAGGUCCAAGGACCAGUAGACAAGGAGCCACCAUCCUGACAAGGCAUGGACCCCAACCAUCAGGAGGAAAUAGGCUGCUUCAUAUGAGGCCAGAAUGUUUUUGGAAGCUCAUGGCCCUGGAAGCCUCUCGCUGUUUACAGGGAGUCAACAUAGGAACAAGCCAACCAUCAAAGGGGGACAAAGGUAAGAGGAUCCCAACAAACGGAGCCACAGUCUUGGUGACAGUAUUGCCCUGGUGCUCAAGUCACACCUAGCGACUGACCUGCCUCUUGGGCCUUUCGAUUAUAGGAAUAGGAGACGAUAAAUUCCUUUUUAUUAUUUAAGCCGGUGCAGGGUAGGAUUUUUCUCACUUGCAGCUAAAAUCAUUUUAUCUUAUACAGCAGUGUUAAGGGACACUUGGAAAACCUGAUGUUACUGUUUGGAGAACACUCUGGCAAUACUUAUUGAAAAAUCUAAAUAUGGGCAUAACCUUUGACCUAACAAUAUAAACUUAUAAGAACGUACUGAUUCAUCCCACAAAUAUUUAAGCACUGACUAUGGGCCAAACACCAUUCUGGGAGUCAGAGAGUUACUCGUGGACAAAAUAAAAUCCCUUAUGGAACCAGCCUUAAGUAGAAACCAGCCAUGUGUAAAAACAUUUAUUUACAAGAGUGUUAAUUUCAUUGCCUUUUAUAGGAGGGAAUAAUAGGAAAUAUAUAUAUAUGUGACCCCUCCCCAAAGAAAGUUGCUUAAAUAAAUGUUAGGGGAUUGACAUGAUAAAAUUCUAUUUAAGCAUUUAUAAUGAAUUUCAGAAAUUAUUGAAUGAUAAGAAAAAAUGUUUCACCAUUUAGGUCAAAAAGCUAGUGGAAAUACAAUGUAGAGCACAACUCAUUUUUGCAUACUCACGUGGGUAUAUUUACAUACAGGAAAGGCCAGAAUUAGUUACUCUGAAAUGUCAUUGGUUGUUUUAAGGAGUAGAAUUGUGAGUUAUUUUUAUUUUCUUCUUUGUAUAUCUCAGUGUUUUUUCAUAAUUUUCUGUCAUGAGUAUGCCUUUCCAUUGUUAUUAUAGAAAACAUUCAUCUUACAAAAUAAUCUCAAGUAGUUUAAAUUUAAAAGUUAGAAAAAAUACCCCUUGUGUAUUAACCCAAGGCUAUCUUCUAAAUCUAAGAUGGCUCUCAAUAUAUGACUUUAUAUGACGAGUAUAAGUAGCAUCCUCCUUCUGCGAUGUAUCUACUCAGGGAAAACUAUCAAAGCAUUUUCUAACACGUGUGGUUUUGUUUUCGUUGUUGUUUAUCUUUGUGGUACAGGGGAUCAAAUCCAGGUGCUUGGGCAUACUAGAUAAGCGCUGUACUAUGGAGGCCUGCCCCACCCAAAUCUGCACUUUGUAAUGGAGUAAACCAAAGAAGAUCUUGAAGCUAGUUCCUGGUAUCUAGACAAGGCCCUCAGUCUCCUGUCUCAGGAUCCAAGGCUGUUUCCACAGUUCUGUGCCCUUUGCCCAGCACCCAAGCAACAUCAUUAGAAUGAAUCUGUCAUCGAGAGAGAGGUCAUUCAAUACAUUUGGAAAGUACCACCAGUUCCCUAAAAAUAACUUGGCAUCUCAGAGAUUCACUGCUUAAGGACUUAAAACCAAAGUACACCCUGAAUUUAAAAUGCAAAGAAGCACACUGUAGGUUUAAAAUGUUUUCAUUGUCUUCCAGAUUUAUAUAACAGAAUCUAAAAUGUGCUUUUACCUAAAGCUAUUUCUACCUAGGCUGGAGGAACAUGUUUGCAACAUGACUUGGGUAAUGAACUUUAUUGUCUCAUCACAUUCCUUUUUGCUCUUGCCUUGACUUCCUAAACCACCUUACUGUCCUCUUGGGUUGGGAAUGUUUUAUAUAAAAGAAGCAUUAUGACUUUAAUGAUUGAAUAACAAUUUCAAAUUUCCAGUUCAGUCUACUUACCAGCUUAGAGAUGAUUUAAUGCAGCAUGAAUAGGUUUCCCUCAGAAAUGGAUAUGAUCUGCAUUGACUAGUUUUUCAAAUACCUCUUCUUCCACACAUUAAAAUACCAGCAGAAAACUGGGCGAGGGGUGUGGCUUGGGUAGGGCACUUGCAAGACCCUGGGUUCAAUCUCCAGCUUGGAAAAAAAUUUAAAAAACAACUAAAAUACAUUCAGAACUAUGACACACAUGUGUGACCUGCUACUGCUAUAAGAGAAUCACCAAACCACCCACAGGACUACAGCUGACAGGACUUCUCCAAAGACGUGGAAAGUUGUGGUUUUCACAUUAGAAUAUCCACAAAGACUCUCAAAGGAAACUAAAACAUUUUCAUAUAUUUGGUUUUCUUUUUUUAAAAAAAAUAAGUACCUGGCCUAAAUAUUCUGCCAGUAGUUCCAUCAAGAAUGUAAAUAUUUCUUUAGUGCUAAUUAUGUAUAGAACUCUGUUGAGGGCUUCGGUGAUCUGCACUAGAUCUAGCGACACCCAAGAC
Long non-coding RNA from Fukomys damarensis (Damara mole-rat), 2828 nucleotides. NCBI's taxonomy places the organism in Eukaryota, Metazoa, Chordata, Mammalia, Rodentia, Bathyergidae. The record is from Ensembl.